GGGCUCGCAGGCGGUUUCUUAAGUCUGAUGUGAAAGCCCCCGGCUCAACCGGGGAGGGUCAUUGGAAACUGGGAAACUUGAGUGCAGAAGAGGAGAGUGGAAUUCCACGUGUAGCGGUGAAAUGCGUAGAGAUGUGGAGGAACACCAGUGGCGAAGGCGACUCUCUGGUCUGUAACUGACGCUGAGGAGCGAAAGCGUGGGGAGCGAACAGGAUUAGAUACCCUGGUAGUCCACGCCGUAAACGAUGAGUGCUAAGUGUUAGGGGGUUUCCGCCCCUUAGUGCUGCAGCUAACGCAUUAAGCACUCCGCCUGGGGAGUACGGUCGCAAGACUGAAACUCAAAGGAAUUGACGGGGGCCCGCACAAGCGGUGGAGCAUGUGGUUUAAUUCGAAGCAACGCGAAGAACCUUACCAGGUCUUGACAUCCUCUGACAACCCUAGAGAUAGGGCUUUCCCUUCGGGGACAGAGUGACAGGUGGUGCAUGGUUGUCGUCAGCUCGUGUCGUGAGAUGUUGGGUUAAGUCCCGCAACGAGCGCAACCCUUGAUCUUAGUUGCCAGCAUUCAGUUGGGCACUCUAAGGUGACUGCCGGUGACAAACCGGAGGAAGGUGGGGAUGACGUCAAAUCAUCAUGCCCCUUAUGACCUGGGCUACACACGUGCUACAAUGGACAGAACAAAGGGCUGCAAGACCGCAAGGGUUAGCCAAUCCCAUAAAUCUGUUCUCAGUUCGGAUCGCAGUCUGCAACUCGACUGCGUGAAGCUGGAAUCGCUAGUAAUCGCGGA
RNAcentral lists this ribosomal RNA (783 nucleotides) under Bacillus pumilus. RNAcentral describes it as "bacterial SSU rRNA". It matches the Rfam family "Bacterial small subunit ribosomal RNA", at positions 565 to 1348 of the family's 1533-position model. Lineage: Bacteria; Bacillati; Bacillota; Bacilli; Caryophanales; Bacillaceae. The record is from RNAcentral.